RNAcentral lists this ribosomal RNA (33 nucleotides) under Mesobuthus eupeus (lesser Asian scorpion). RNAcentral's name for it is "partial 28S ribosomal RNA". The record is from RNAcentral. Lineage: Eukaryota; Metazoa; Arthropoda; Arachnida; Scorpiones; Buthidae.
GACUUCUGAUUGAAUUAUUUUCCCCCCUGAUUU